Molecule: ribosomal RNA, 253 nt
Filed under: uncultured prokaryote
Description: partial 16S ribosomal RNA
Rfam family: Bacterial small subunit ribosomal RNA
Source: RNAcentral
UACGAAGGGGGCUAGCGUUGUUCGGAAUUACUGGGCGUAAAGCGUGCGCAGGCGGUGAUGUAAGACAGUUGUGAAAUCCCCGGGCUCAACCUGGGAACUGCAGUUGAUACUGGCCGACUGGAGUGCGAGAGAGGGAGGUAGAAUUCCAUGUGUAGCGGUGAAAUGCGUAGAUAUAUGGAGGAAUACCGGUGGCGAAGGCGGCCUCCUGGCUCGACACUGACGCUGAGGUGCGAAAGCGUGGGGAUCAAACAGG